GAUGCCAAGGCGCCCGCACUCUAGGGGGCGCCACUAGAAGGACCGAUUCUGCACAGCAGCUAAACUAGUGCAACUAGUUUGAAAUCUUUCUCCUGCUCACUAAAAGUACCUAACUUUUAAAGUAAAAUUUUAAUGAGUUAACUUUUACUUUUAUUUACUUAACAUUUUACAUUUUAUUUACUUAAAAUAUUCUUGAGUGCAUUAUUUUGGUACCUCUGGUUGUUAAACUUUAUAAAAGGUGAUUUAUCAGCAGGACUGAAUGUUAAAUCACAUCAAAACAUGGAACAAGUCAGUGAGUUAGCUCAUUACUUAGCAGAACAUAUCGUCAUUACUGGAGUUCCAGAUAGCAUUCAGUUUCACAGUCAUACGUCUUCAGCAAAGCUUAGUUACCAAGUUAGUCUUGAAGCUAAACACUUAGCUUCAAUCUAAAUAGCAGGCUAAGUAUUCAGUCAGCUAAAGCUAACGCUGUAUAGUUAGCUUGCUAAUUAAAUGGGGAAAAUGAGUGAAAUUGAAAAAUGAUUCUGUUUCAUUUUUGAUUUUCCGAACGGCAGCCCGUAUUUAUCGAGUUGGAGACCACACUACUGUCUGCAAACAGAAACGGAUCCACCAGAACUGGACCAGAACAGGUCGCUCCAGAUAGACGGGUCAGAACCUGGUGGAGGUGGUAUCAUGCUGUAGGAGAUAAUGUCUUGGCUCGCUUUGGACCCAUUGGACCCACCUGAGCCUCAUCUGACCCCCGCUGACCACCUUCAGAGCUCCUGGACCAGAAUCUCUGGGGAACGGUUCUGACAGCUUGUUGGAUCCAGACCCAGAAGAACUCAGGUGGUUCUGGAGGUGAAACGGGCUCCACCUACAAGCUGUACCUAAUAAAGUGGCCAGCUGUGAAGCUGCAGAGAGAGCAUCUUUAGCUUCCAGGAGGUUUCUGAACUCAUGGAUCCCCUCACGAUGCAUCAGAAUGUUCUGAAGCGGUUCUGCUGCAGCGACCCGAUCCACUCUCCUCCUGCAGCAGAACCUGAGCCGCAGCAGCUAAUCAGCAGCAGCAAGCAGGGACACGGCAGCGUCCCGACCCGGUUCUGCUGCUGGUUCUGCUGCAGCGGCAGGAAAGGUGACCUCUCGCACAGAAAGCGCCAGAACAGAGAGAGACAGAGAGAGAGAGACAGAGAGAGAGAGAGACAGAGAGAGAGAGAGAGAGCGCUCACUAACCCGGCGGCAGCAUCGUCCAUGCUCCAGUCCUCACACUCC
Xiphophorus hellerii (green swordtail) is the source of this 1242-nucleotide long non-coding RNA. RefSeq lists it as uncharacterized. The transcript is spliced from 2 exons. NCBI's taxonomy places the organism in Eukaryota, Metazoa, Chordata, Actinopteri, Cyprinodontiformes, Poeciliidae. The record is from RefSeq and is a predicted model, not a curated record.